AUUUUUUGAAUUUUUUGUUUUCUAGAUUUUUCUUUUGAUCUUUGAUCCUUUUAAUACUAAGUAGUUUUAAGCUAGAAUUAAGUAGUUAUAAGCUAGUUUUAAAUGUAUAUUAGUUAAGUAAUCAAUACAUUUAUCUGCAUCACUAGAUAUUUACAUAUUUCUAACAAUUUUUCAUGGUUGCCAUGGCUCUCCUGUGAGAGAUCAAGCAAACUCUGAGAGGGACAUGAAGAAUGCACAGUUGUUUCAUGAUUCCCUCAGAAAGUUUUUAAUGCCCUCAAUGAUUGUUAUAGCUUGAGAAGAUUGAUAAGGGAUGAAAUUCACAAUAAUUUAUAAAGUAUGUCAAGUAUCUUUGAAAACUUUAUUGAGUUCACUCAAAGCUGAUGACAGAGUUGUAGAAUUAGAGAGACAGAUGAAGCACAAGAUCGAAGAGGAGAAGAUUUCAAAAACAUUGUAUUCAGAGGUGAUCAGGAGAUCUGUUCCAAAGCAAGAUGAUGCAAUAAUUCUUGUGUAUCCCUCCAGGGGCAUGGAAGCUAUAGAACCUUGGAAACUCCUUGAACUUCCUUAAAGAAAGAAGUGAUCUUGCAAGAUCUGAAGAUAUGUUUGAAGAAUGCCAGAACAGUGAAAUCAAGAAUAGUCAUUUCUUCUAUGAGUGCAGGGGCAUCAAAGCUAAAGGCAAAACUACAGGAGAAGGAAGAAUACAUGGCUAGAAUCAACAAGACGACAACAGAUCAUAAUCACAAAACCCCUUUGGAUAUCAGUGCUGAGGCCCCUGGAGCAACAUAAUACUUUUAACAAACACAUAGAUGCAUGGCUAUGUUUUUGCCAGACAAUUUCAGGCUGGUCUUUCAAAUAAGAAAAAGGGCAGACUGAAACCUGUACUCCUGGUUAGUAGAGGAGGAUAUGAAGAGGAGGGCCAUAUAAGAGAGUAACAACUUUCUGACCAUUAGCUAAUUGUCACACAAUAUAAGGGACUUCUACAGUUUUUGUUGCUGUAGUAAAUAUUGGUCUUAUGGGCAUUUGGCCAAACAAUAUAAGGCUGCUGUAGUCUGCCCUAACUGUGCAGCUACUGGCAAUGACUUGUGCCAAUUCACAUCUUGAAGAGAGUUUAAGUGUAUCAGCUAUCCAAAAUAUAAAACAGAAUGCCAACUAGGGAUUCUAUCCCGGGACGACCCGAGAAAUAAUUCCCGGGAAUUUGAUAAAAUUC
This 1204-nucleotide long non-coding RNA is filed under the name Androctonus crassicauda. Lineage: Eukaryota; Metazoa; Arthropoda; Arachnida; Scorpiones; Buthidae. The record is from RNAcentral.